GGGGGUGUAGCUUAGUGGUAGAGCGUGUGCUUAGCACGUGAGAGAUCUUGGGUUCAUCCCCAAUACCCCUC
This is a non-coding RNA of Ictidomys tridecemlineatus (thirteen-lined ground squirrel), 71 nucleotides long. The record is from Rfam. NCBI's taxonomy places the organism in Eukaryota, Metazoa, Chordata, Mammalia, Rodentia, Sciuridae.